Molecule: small nuclear RNA, 100 nt
Organism: Equus caballus (horse)
Lineage: Eukaryota; Metazoa; Chordata; Mammalia; Perissodactyla; Equidae
Source: Ensembl
CUGACUUCAGUAGCACAUGGACUAAAAGUGGAACAAUACAGAGAUUAACAUGGUCCCUCGUGCAAGAAUGACAUGCAAAUUAGUGGUGUUCCAUAUUUUU